UUAAGGGCACCUGUUCGUAUACUGAGUGUAUCCUGAGUUUUUAUUUUCCGGUAUACCUUCAGUAUACGUAGCAGGGAACCGUAA
This 84-nucleotide microRNA precursor is filed under the name Stegodyphus mimosarum. RNAcentral describes it as "microRNA mir-iab-4". Lineage: Eukaryota; Metazoa; Arthropoda; Arachnida; Araneae; Eresidae. The record is from RNAcentral.